CACAGUCCAAAGUUUUUUAUGUGGGUGAUUAAUUAUUGAGAUUCUCUGAAAAGAAAUAUAUUACAUUGCAUUCCAACCAUAUCUUGUGCAGGCUCGGCUUCAAGGGAUGAUGAGAAUUUACCUGCUUAUUCGUGAGGCAAAGGGGAUUAAUCUAGGCCUAAACAAGGCCAAGACAAAGCUGAUAGAUCUGAGAGGACAGGUCGUUAUGUGAUUGGUCAGCAUGGACAUUGAAUUAAUCCAGGAUACAAGCAAAAAUUGCAUCACCGAGAGAGACUAUGAAUCAAGAGCCACACAUCAGUGAAUGAAAAGAUCUGGUUGAGGGAGAAAAAGGAGGAGGAAGAAGAUGAAGAGGAGGAAAAAGACAAGGAUAAGAACAAGGAGGAAGAUAUGGGUCAUUGUAGAAGCAACUGUUAAUAGAUUAAAUGCUAAGUAUAUUGAUUUUCUUAUACUCCUGAUACUAAUCACAACAGUCAGUUCAUACUU
This 483-nucleotide long non-coding RNA is filed under the name Equus caballus (horse). RNAcentral describes it as "lncRNA (ENSECAG00000048696.1)". Lineage: Eukaryota; Metazoa; Chordata; Mammalia; Perissodactyla; Equidae. The record is from RNAcentral.